AUACGGAGGAUCCGAGCGUUAUCCGGAUUUAUUGGGUUUAAAGGGAGCGUAGGCGGGAGAUCAAGUCAGCUGUGAAAUGUAGAUGCUCAACAUCUGCACUGCAGUUGAAACUGGUUUUCUUGAGUGCGUAAGGGGCAGGCGGAAUUCGUCGUGUAGCGGUGAAAUGCUUAGAUAUGACGAAGAACUCCGAUCGCGAAGGCAGCCUGCCGGGCCGCGACUGACGCUGAAGCUCGAAGGUGCGGGUAUCGAACAGGAUUAGAUACCCUGGUAGUCCGCACAGUAAACGAUGGAUACUCGCUGUCGGCGAUAUACGGUCGGUGGCCAAGCGAAAGCGUUAAGUAUCCCACCUGGGGAGUACGCUGGCAACGGUGAAACUCAAAGGAAUUGACGGGG
Molecule: ribosomal RNA, 393 nt
Filed under: uncultured bacterium
Lineage: Bacteria
Description: partial 16S ribosomal RNA
Rfam family: Bacterial small subunit ribosomal RNA
Source: RNAcentral